Molecule: ribosomal RNA, 498 nt
Filed under: uncultured bacterium
Lineage: Bacteria
Description: bacterial SSU rRNA
Rfam family: Bacterial small subunit ribosomal RNA
Source: RNAcentral
ACGCGAAAGGGGCUUCGGCCCUGAGUAGAGUGGCAAACGGGUGAGUAACACGUGGGUGACCUGCCUCAGAGUGGGGGAUAACGUCCCGAAAGGGACGCUAAUACCGCAUAACAUCCUGCCUUUGGAAAGGUGGAGAUCAAAGCCGGGGAUCGCAAGACCUGGCGCUUGGAGAGGGGCCCGCGUCUGAUUAGCUAGUUGGUAGGGUAAUGGCCUACCAAGGCGACGAUCAGUAUCCGGCCUGAGAGGGCGGACGGACACACUGGGACUGAGACACGGCCCAGACUCCUACGGGAGGCAGCAGUGGGGAAUUGUUCGCAAUGGGCGCAAGCCUGACGACGCAACGCCGCGUGGAGGAUGAAGAUCUUCGGGUCGUAAACUCCUGUCGAGCGGGACGAACACUUACCUGGUCAAUACCCGGGUAGGCUGACGGUACCGCUAAAGGAAGCCCCGGCUAACUCCGUGCCAGCAGCCGCGGUAAUACGGGGGGGGCAAGCGUUG